Molecule: non-coding RNA, 789 nt
Organism: Malus domestica (apple)
Lineage: Eukaryota; Viridiplantae; Streptophyta; Magnoliopsida; Rosales; Rosaceae
Source: RefSeq, a predicted model, not a curated record
UGUAAAAAUACUUGUUUCUGCUAAGGUAACUACAAAAUCUUAUCAAGUGUUUGUAUUAUUUUUCAAGCCUGAAAUAUGGGGAAAUGAAGGUUGUUCAUAACUUCAUAUGUAACACCAUUUUUUCAUUGAAGAGGUGUAUUUGGGAAAUCAAUUUUCAGGGUAUCUUGAUGGUCUUGGAGAUGCUGUUGAGCAGGGCCUUGUGAAGGCUGUUGGUGUUUCCAACUACAGCCGUAUAAUUCGAUCUUUUAUCUAUUUAUUGUUGGUUAAAAUAAGCAGUUCAAAUCAUGGAAAAAAUUUCUAUCAUAGAUGCUCCUAACGAGAACAUGACGUAUAAAGUUUGUUAUUUCAGAAAAGCAAUUGCGUAAGGCACACGCAAAACUUCAAAAUAGAGGUAUCCCACCAGCAUCAAAUCAGGUGAAUUACAGCCUCAUAUACAAGGCACCAAAGGAGAAUGGUGUGAAGUUUACCUGUGAUGAACUUGGGAUCACUUUGAUUGCCUAUUCGCCUAUUGCUCAAGGUAGUCCUAAACUGGUUGAUAGCCCAGGGCAACGUUGUGCCAAUCCCGGGAGCCAAAAAAGCAGAACAGGUUGCAGAAUUUGCAAGUUCACUUGGAUGGCGGCUCAACACUGAAGAAGUAGCCGAAUUGCGCGCUCUGGUUAUAGAGAUAAAACCUGUUACCGGUUUCCCUGUUGAAAAAUUAUAAAUUCUUACAGAAGCAUCGGGGCUGUAAAUUCUUCUAUACAAAAGUAUGUACACACUUCACAUCUAAUGCAAAUUUGACAUAUCUAA